RNAcentral lists this non-coding RNA (471 nucleotides) under Desulfitobacterium hafniense. RNAcentral describes it as "T-box sequence". It matches the Rfam family "T-box leader". Rfam says of the family: Uncharged tRNA acts as the effector for transcription antitermination of genes in the T-box leader family. The record is from RNAcentral. Lineage: Bacteria; Bacillati; Bacillota; Clostridia; Eubacteriales; Desulfitobacteriaceae.
UUAAUGCUAAUGACGAGAAAGAGUACACCUUAGCCGGAAUGUCCAAGAGAGUCAGCGUUGGUGAGAGCUGAUACAAACCGUUUGGUGGAAUGGGUCUCUGAAGCGCAAGCUGAACGAAUCUGCAUCUUGACUAUCAGGAUGGAGAUAUCAAGUAGGCAAGCCGGGGGUUUCCCGUUACAGAAACACGGGUAUCGAGAGCAUGGAUCAUUCUCUCCGCAUCCGGUUAGAGGUAUGGGACAGCUUUUUUAAUUCCAGCGGCUUGCGCUGACCCAUAUAAAUUAAGGUGGCAACACAGAAGUACUUUCUGUCCUUUACAUAGGACGGGAAGUUUUUUAUUUUAAAAUAAAGUGCCGCCCUCUCCGGAUGAACAAGAGAUGAAAUUAUGUUUUCUCCGUACCUGAUAGAGGUACUUGUAGAUACACUACACAAGUACAAAUUAAGGUGGCACCACAGAAGCUUUCUGUCCUUUGG